This is a long non-coding RNA of Polypterus senegalus (gray bichir), 214 nucleotides long. RefSeq lists it as uncharacterized. The transcript is spliced from 3 exons. Lineage: Eukaryota; Metazoa; Chordata; Cladistia; Polypteriformes; Polypteridae. The record is from RefSeq and is a predicted model, not a curated record.
AGUCGUCAAAGUGCAACACCCAAACGCCGGCACCAGAGCCAGCAGCAGCAGCAGCUCCGGCUCCAACAGCUCAGGAGACAAAAAAAGAAGAAAAAGAUGAAACCCCACCAGGUCCUGAGCCUCUCCAAGCAGCAGCGCCCGCUCCAGAUAAAGAAGAAACGAAGUGUCCUCCUCCACCUAAUCAAGAAGGUCCGACUCCUGAGGCAGAAAAAGU